This 292-nucleotide ribosomal RNA is filed under the name uncultured bacterium. RNAcentral describes it as "partial 16S ribosomal RNA". It matches the Rfam family "Bacterial small subunit ribosomal RNA", at positions 505 to 796 of the family's 1533-position model. The record is from RNAcentral.
GUGUCAGCCGCCGCGGUAAGACGUAGGGGGCGAGCGUUGUCCGGAAUUACUGGGCGUAAAGCGCGUGCAGGCGGCCCGUUAAGUCCCGUGUGAAAGCCUCCGGCUCAACCGGAGGGGGUCGCGGGAAACUGGCGGGCUUGAGGGCGGGAGAGGGUGGUGGAAUUCCCGGUGUAGCGGUGAAAUGCGUAGAUAUCGGGAGGAACGCCAGUGGCGAAGGCGGCCACCUGGGCCGUCCCUGACGCUGAGACGCGAAAGCUGGGGGAGCGAACGGGAUUAGAAACCCGCGUAGUCC